This is a non-coding RNA of Phascolarctos cinereus (koala), 2949 nucleotides long. The record is from RefSeq and is a predicted model, not a curated record. NCBI's taxonomy places the organism in Eukaryota, Metazoa, Chordata, Mammalia, Diprotodontia, Phascolarctidae.
AGACACUAUUGAUAGGUUGGAUGAGAGGUGGAAAGACAUACAAGAUAGGAUGCUUGCCCUCAAAGUGUCUACAAUAAUGACCAAUCUCACCACAAUUAGUAACAUCCUGCCUUGAAGAACAUUACUCAAGAACUACACCGUGGAUGAAGAUUUUCCAGAUUAUCCUCUUCUAAUCCUAAUAAAGGCAGUAAUUGCUUCCAAGCACAUGAUUGGUUAUGAUGGUUAAGUGUGUUUCUAUAUUGGGCUUGUUUCUGUUCCUUAGAGAACCACAGAAUCUCAGACUGGGAAAGCAUUGAGGCCAUCUACUCCAAAGACUUUCAGGUGCAAGAAUCCCUCUGCAAAUAUCCAACAAUUGGUCAUUUGAACUUUGCUGGAAGAACUUUCCAGAGGAAAAACCCUUUAAGUCCUGGGGAAGUCCAUUCAAUUUUGGGGUAGUUCUUGUUGUUAGAAAGUUGCUGGGCUUUUUUUUGUUGGUUUUAAAAAUGUCAAGCAUAUAUUUGACUUGGUCAUUUCCACUCAUUGUUCUGACUCUGGUCUUCUGAGACCAAAUGAAACAAUUCUAACCCUGUUCCAUAUCCCAAUCUUUUAAAUAAUUAAAUAAAUGCAACCACUUCUCCAGGUCCCAGCACCACCCAUACACAAGCAAGUCUUUCCAUAGCAGGGAUUCUUAACCUGGUGCCUGUGGACCCUCAAGGAGUCUGUGGAUUUCAGGGGGUCUGUGAACUUGGAUUGUUAAAAAAAAAAAUCUUUUUUCUAAUGUCUAAUAAAAAUUUAACAUUUCCUUCAACACCUUUUAUGAGAAGGGAUCCACUGACUUUACCAGACUGACAAAGGAGUCUGUCUCUGUCUCUGUCUCUGUCUCUCUCUCACACACACACACACACACACACACACACACACACACACAUUAAGAGCUCUAGUUCAAGAACAAUGAUAUUAGAGAGACAAAACCUGGAUAUGCCUCUCAGUUCUGAUACUUUUUAGCUUUGUGUUUGUAGGAAAAUCACUUAACUUCUAUGGACCUCAGUUUCUUGAUGAGGAAAAUCAUAUUACUUACCUUACAGGACCGAUGUGUUGAAAGUAGGUUGUAAACCUUAAAAGUUUAUAUAAAUAUGAAUUAAUUUUUCAAUAUUUAGUAGUUUCUUUCCCCUCCCCUCUCCGUUAGAUUGUAAAUUCUGUAAGUACCCAAUAAAUCCCAAAUGACUAAUUCAACCCACUCUGGAAAAACUAGAAGGUUUCCUGGGGACAAAGGCUUAUGAAAGUAAUACUGCUUUGUUAAAGGUCUUGCAAACCAUCUUCCUUGUAUUAACACUACCCUUUCCAUAAUUUUAAGAAUGAAGAUGCAAUGAAUAAAUCAAGGUUUAAAUAUAUUCCUUAAAGCAUUCUGCUUAAAUGCUGAGAACUCAUGGCAAUUGCAACCUUUGCCCUUCCACUUCUAUUUUUAAAGCACACUGAAUUCUUUUACUGAAUUUUUAAAAACUGCAAUAAGACUGCCAAAAUAGCUUCUGACUCAGAAGCCAAAAAAAAAAUUAUAGGGCAAUGUAUUUCCCAGAGAAUAAUUAUCUACAUGCAAUUUUAAUUUGUAUAACACGAGUCAAGUUGAUCUCAGAAUACUAUGCAAUGAAAAGAUGCCAACCAACUGCUUAUCAUAUACAUGGUAUAAGGACAUUCAUUUCAAUUGAGCCAAAACUGUGUUGUCUUAUGGAGAAUGAAAUGUACAUAUGAAAUCUGCAGUUUUAAUGGGAUGAUUUUAACUUAGGAACACACACAUUUUCAGCAUCUUGUGUAUACUCUACUAAAAUAAUUCCUUACGAAAAAAAAAGUCAACAAGCCAGAAAGAAAACAGAGAUAUUAGUAUUUCUUUUAUUGAUAGUAUUAUCAUUAUCUUGGAAAGCAGGACUCAAUCAUGCAAUCAUAAUUUGUCAAAGCAGUUGUGAAAGUAGUUUUUAAAUGCCUUGAACAAUUUCUUAGAGUCAAACUUCUAACAUGUUAGUCAAAAGGGCUUUCCUUCCCUACUUCCAUAUGCCAUUUACAUCAGCACGUACAAAAACAUGAUAUUUCAUAUUUAUCUAAGAUAGGUGUUGAAAGCUAAAAAUAAAAUAUACUAAUUAAUAGAAAGCAAAAAUAGUUUUUAACACACUAAAUAGUUUAUGCUUUUUAUUCCAAACACUUUCUCCAAAACAACAUAUUUAUUUAAUUUUAUGGAAAAUACAUUUAAUUCCCCUUUCCCUCUUUGGAUGAACGCAAGUCUCACCAAGAGGCCAUUUUUCCAAAAGAAAAAAAAAAGAACAUUAACUUGCAUGGAAACCAAUUUCAUUCAUGAUAUUAAAUAUUAUGAUUUUAUAUCAUGUUAUGGUUUCUUAUAAUUUUUAAAGAAAUGAAAGUGUCAGCUUCUUAAUGAAAACUGCUUAUACUAUUGUAAGGCACAUCUGGAAACCUCUAGGAAUACUUACUUAUAAGCAAAUCAUUACUAGCUGCAAUCACAUGUGGUUUUUAAAAACAGAAUAUUCCUGUAUACAUUUUGCUGAGUAGGUGGGAUAUUCAGAAUUGGGAAAGAACAGGCAGACAAAACCUCACUGUCACCCCAGAAAUUACCCACACAGAUCAGUUAGUGCAAUAAGCAGUAUAGAAUUAUAAGUUGAAAGAAGAAUGAGUAAAUAAACAUAUGUUCUCUUGUUUUGGGGUUCCCAGAUUUUUUUGUGUUACACUGACAGCCAUCUUUCUCUACAACUACAACUGCAGUCUGAAAUAUUAGUCACCCUAGCUUUAAUGAUCUUCCAAGGUGGCAUCCUGGAUCUAUCUCCUUGGCUGGACUUUAAAUAUUACUGUGUUUAUAACUUCUUCUACCAUAGUAUUUAGAUCUUGCUCUGGUAGAAGUUAGAGUGCUUACUUUCAACCUGGACUUUGCCUAAUGACUGCAUCUAUUGUCAAAUUUGGAGAGGUGUUAUU